CCAGCUCCAAUAGCGUAUAUUAAAGUUGUUGCGGUUAAAAAGCUCGUAGUUGGAUUUCUGCUGAGGAUGACCGGUCCGCCCUCUGGGUGAGCAUCUGGCUCAGCUUUGGCAUCUUCUUGAAAAAUGUGUCUGCACUUGACUGUGUGGUGCGGUAUUCAAGACAUUUACUUUGAGGAAAUUAGAGUGUUUAAAGCAGGCGAUCGCUUGAAUACAUCAGCAUGGAAUAACAAGACAAGACAUUAGUCUUCUUGUUGGUUUGGAGAUAAAUGUAAUGAUUAAUAGGGCCAGUUGGGGGCAUUAGUAUUUAGUAGUCAGAGGUGAAAUUCUUGGAUUUACUAAAGACUAACUAGUGCGAAAGCAUUUGCCAAGGAUGUUUUCAUUAAUCAAGAACGAAAGUUAGGGGAUCGAAGACGAUCAGAUACCGUCGUAGUCUUAACUAUAAACGAUGCCGACUAAGGAUCGGCAGAAGUCGUUAGCGACUCUGUCGGCACUUUGUGAGAAAUCAAAGUUUUUGGGUUCUGGGGGGAGUAUGGUCGCAAGGCUGAAACUUAAAGGAAUUGACGGAAGGGCACCACCAGGAAUGGAGCCUGCGGCUUAAUUCGACUCAAC
Molecule: ribosomal RNA, 609 nt
Filed under: uncultured eukaryote
Lineage: Eukaryota
Description: bacterial SSU rRNA
Rfam family: Eukaryotic small subunit ribosomal RNA
Source: RNAcentral